GAUAGUCUACCAACAAAAGAAAUUAUUCUUAUUUGAUUGAAGUUACAGAAUUAUAAUGAGGUGUUUUGCAACAUGUAUUUUAAAGUUUGUAUAUGAUUUUAAACUAUAAAUUUGUUAUUUUUGAUUUAAUAUUCAAUAACUUAUCUACCAAAGUUUUAUCAAAGUUAAAAAUUUUCAAAGUUCAACCACUAAAUAGUUACCUAAAAAUUUCAAUUUUCCCGGGUUUUUCAGUUUUAGACUCACUUUGAUGUUUCUAGGUUUUCCAAUUUAAGACCCACUUUACCCAAUACCUUACCCAUAACCGACCCAGUACCAUCUCUUAUAUACCAAUCCGGUUUUUGAUUCUACAAAAUCUCAUUGUUUUAGACUCACUUUGAUGUUUCUAGGUUUUCCAAUUUAAGACCCACUUUACGCAAUACCUUACCCAUAACCGACCCAGUACCAUCUCUUAUAUACCAAUCCGGUGAUUCUACAAAAUCUCAUUGUUUUAGACUCACUUUGAUGUUUCUAGGUUUUCCAAUUUAAGACCCACUUUACGCAAUACCUUACCCAUAAAUAACCGACCCAGUACCAUCUCUUAUAUACCAAUCCGGUUUUUGAUUCAACAAAAUCUCAUUGUUUUAGACUCACUUUGAUGUUUCUAGGUUUUCCAAUUUAAGACCCACUUUACGCAAUCCCUUACCCAUAACCGACCCAGUACCAUCUCUUAUAUACCAAUCCAGUUUUUGAUUCUACAAAAUCUCAUUGUUUUAGACUCACUUUGAUGUUUCUAGGUUUUCCAAUUUAAGACCCACUUUACGCAAUACCUUACCCAUAACCGACCCAGUACCAUCUCUUAUAUACCAAUCCGGUUUUUGAUUCUACAAAAUCUCAUUAACCGGUUUCCGAAUUUGGACCCUCUCUCUGGGAAAUUAUAAAAAGCACUUCGGUUUUUCUCAUAAUUACCUUUAUAUCAAAGUUUCUUUGAUAUCUACACUAUCCAAAUUUUUCUUAUUUUGACUCUAUCUUUUCUUUUUUGGAAAACAUUGACAAUAAAAACGUUGAGGUUUUAGGUAUUACCAUUUACCAAAGGAAAACAUUGACACUAAAAACGUUGAGGUUUUAGGUAUUACCAUUUACCAUCUAAUACCAAGAUUUUGCAAAGUCUGAUUUAUAAUUUAAUUAAUCAUUUUCAUAAGUAAAUGAGGACAACCUUGUCUUUUACUUUUACUAUUUGAGACACCUUACAAAUGUUUUUGUCUUUCAAGUAGUCAUUAUCAAACUUUUUUUAGGGAUGAAAACAACAACUUAAAAAUUUCUUUCAAACAAAUCUAACUAUUUUUAGAAUCAAUAACUAAUAAAGUUCUUAUAAAAGUGUUCAUUUUAUAAGCACUAUUCUAGUAACUUUAAUUUAUAAAUUUAUAUUUGUCUGCAAUGAAGUUUAUAAAAUGUUCAUUUUAUUUCAUGGAAUUAAAUCGAUAGUUCAAGUAACUUCAGUUUACAGAUUUAUAUUUGUCUGAUUUGUUAAAUCAGACAACCAAUGAUCUCUCAAAGAGAUAAAAUAACCUAUAUUUAUUAUUUAUGCAAAUCAUUACCAAAUACUUUAUUUUUUUACUUUGAAUAAAUGGUUUUUUUGGAAUUUCAUACCAUGAAAUCGUUUAUUAAAUUAUAUAACUUAUAAAUUGAAUUAUCUAAUAGAAUUGUAGAAACAUCUGGUUGCACAAGCAAACAAUAACACUAGAGACACAAACCAGUCUGCUCCAAUUCAUUUAGGCAAACGUUCAGCACUAAAAACACUAUAGAAUAAGCGCAUUAGCGACUCUAAAAUGUUGCCAUAAAUCGCAUUUUAAUCAACAAAAGAACUUUAUAUAAUAAAAUAUAUAGAUACAUAAAGAUGUAAGAACAUCUGAAUGCAUAAGCCUUGUAAAACAGACAAAUGCCAGAAUCUCAGUUACAUAUUGUUAUCGGCAACGUACAGCACUGAAUACACUACCAAAAAGCAGAUCAGAGACUCUAAUUUGUUGCCUUUAAUCCCAUCAUUACCGAAUAAAUCCAAAUGAACUUUAAAAAAAAAUACUAAUCAAUGAAAUUAUUAAGAGAUUUUGAAAACGGAAUCAUAGGCUCAGUUGAAUGUUAAUCAUCAAAGAAAAGCGUAAAGCUUUCAGAGUUUGAUGGUAUGUUUGUUUUCGUCAUCAUUGCCUUGAUCAGCGAUUAGAAAAGGAAAAAACACAUGUUCAAACAUACAAAACAGAUGCGUGAAUUGGUAAAACGAGAGGAACACAGAGCCAUGAAUCUACCUCAUAAGCUGAUUCCUUGCAGACGUUAACAGAAAAGAGAGGAAUAAUUUUGAUGAUGAAGCUGCUUGAAGAACGUAGUUAUAUAGAAACUAAUGAAACCCUAGUUCCAAAUGUACACAAGCCCAUCUACAGAAUUUUU
RNAcentral lists this long non-coding RNA (2415 nucleotides) under Lactuca sativa (garden lettuce). RNAcentral's name for it is "long non-coding RNA (LSAT_LNC000471)". The record is from RNAcentral. Lineage: Eukaryota; Viridiplantae; Streptophyta; Magnoliopsida; Asterales; Asteraceae.